RNAcentral lists this ribosomal RNA (497 nucleotides) under uncultured bacterium. RNAcentral describes it as "partial 16S ribosomal RNA". It matches the Rfam family "Bacterial small subunit ribosomal RNA", at positions 28 to 507 of the family's 1533-position model. The record is from RNAcentral.
GACGAACGCUGGCGGCGUGCCUAAUACAUGCAAGUUGAGCGAUGAAGAUUGGUGCUUGCCCCAAUUUGAAGAGCAGCGAACGGGUGAGUAACGCGUGGGGAAUCUGCCUUUGAGCGGGGGACAACAUUUGGAAACGAAUGCUAAUACCGCAUAAUAACUUUAAACAUAAGCUUUAAGUUUGAAAGAUGCAAUUGCAUCACUCAAAGAUGAUCCCGCGUUGUAUUAGCUAGUUGGUGAGGUAAAGGCUCACCAAGGCGAUGAUACAUAGCCGACCUGAGAGGGUGAUCGGCCACAUUGGGACUGAGACACGGCCCAAACUCCUACGGGAGGCAGCAGUAGGGAAUCUUCGGCAAUGGACGAAAGUCUGACCGAGCAACGCCGCGGGAGUGAAGAAGGUUGUCGGAUCGUAAAACUCGGUUGGUAGAGAAGAACGUUGGUGAGAGUGGAAAGCUCAUCAAGUGACGGUAACUACCCAGAAAGGGACGGCUAACUACGUG